Biomphalaria pfeifferi is the source of this 550-nucleotide non-coding RNA. Lineage: Eukaryota; Metazoa; Mollusca; Gastropoda; Planorbidae. The record is from the annotation of a GenBank genome assembly.
GUCAAGUGUGUGUAACAUUUUAUUUCAGGUUUUUUUUUCCAACAACUUUUCACUGAGACAUAGUUGACAAUUAUUGAUCCAGCUGGAGAUCAAUUUAAACAAAAUAUUUUUUUUUUGGAUAUCCUUAUCUACAAAUUAUGCAAUAGCAGCCUUUGUCUCUAGGGUAAAAAGAAAACAUCAAAUGUUAUGGGCAUGCUAAGUUUUUAGCAAAAGAACUGAAGCUGCAUAAGUCAAGAUAAAGAAAAAGAAAGCAGCCUGGUCUGCCAGCCCUAAGACAGAUGAAUAAAUAUACAUGAACUGUGGCAAACUCUGCCACUCCAGAAUUGGCUUGAUCAGUCCAGAUUCUGCCCUGUCUUAAGACCAUACCAAAGUCAGCAAUUAAUCUGUCUUUCGAGACAGAAGGAGACAUAAUUUAAUAUAUAAUUUUUAAAAAAAAUAUACAGUGUGUAUGUGGUGGGGGCAUCCCUGGAGCUAAAAAUAAAAUGAAGGCAGUCAACAAAAAGAAAAUGAGAAUAUUUUUUGGUUGCAUCAACCUGUCAGUUGACUUGCU